GCCAUUGAUGUCACUAGACUUCCAUGGCUUCCGAAGCCAUUGGUCGGGGGUUCGAAUCCCUCCAGGCGCGCCA
RNAcentral lists this transfer RNA (73 nucleotides) under Lysobacter sp. Its description in RNAcentral is "tRNA-Arg". The record is from RNAcentral. Lineage: Bacteria; Pseudomonadati; Pseudomonadota; Gammaproteobacteria; Lysobacterales; Lysobacteraceae.